Molecule: non-coding RNA, 191 nt
Organism: Nitrospirae bacterium GWB2_47_37
Lineage: Bacteria; Pseudomonadati; Nitrospirota
Source: Rfam
GAUUACCUGCCCUGUUUGUGGUUAGGUGAAAGCGUUUGAUCCCGCAAAUUAGAUUUUUGGGGAGCCGGCGUUAGGUACACGGUGUGCAAGCCUCCCCCGCAAGGGAAGAGAGGAAGCCUAAGUUAUCUUCAAGGCGCCCACCUGUAGACACAGGGAUCUAAUUUUUCACCACACGGCAGGGUGGGCUUAAU